RNAcentral lists this ribosomal RNA (400 nucleotides) under uncultured bacterium. Its description in RNAcentral is "bacterial SSU rRNA". It matches the Rfam family "Bacterial small subunit ribosomal RNA", at positions 356 to 773 of the family's 1533-position model. The record is from RNAcentral.
GGGGAAUAUUGCACAAUGGAGGAAACUCUGAUGCAGCAACGCCGCGUGAGUGAUGAAGGUCUUCGGAUUGUAAAGCUCUGUCUUCUGGGACGAUAAUGACGGUACCAGAGGAGGAAGCCACGGCUAACUACGUGCCAGCAGCCGCGGUAAUACGUAGGUGGCAAGCGUUGUCCGGAUUUACUGGGCGUAAAGGAUGUGUAGGCGGAUAUUUAAGUGAGAUGUGAAAUCCCCGGGCUUAACUUGGGGGCUGCAUUUCAAACUGGAUGUCUAGAGUGCAGGAGAGGAAAGCAGAAUUCCUAGUGUAGCGGUGAAAUGCGUAGAGAUUAGGAGGAAUACCAGUGGCGAAGGCGGCUUUCUGGACUGUAACUGACGCUGAGGCGCGAAAGCGUGGGGGGCGAAC